Molecule: long non-coding RNA, 102 nt
Organism: Amblyraja radiata (thorny skate)
Lineage: Eukaryota; Metazoa; Chordata; Chondrichthyes; Rajiformes; Rajidae
Exons: 3
Source: RefSeq, a predicted model, not a curated record
AAUAUUUUGUGUUUAAAGGGGGAUUCUCUUUGUCUCGGUGUGUCUCGGUUUGGAGAGGCACCCGGCUCUGCAGACUCGUAAAUAAACAAAUUUCUUUUUCCA